RNAcentral lists this unclassified non-coding RNA (220 nucleotides) under uncultured Tomentella. RNAcentral describes it as "sequence contains ITS2". The record is from RNAcentral. Lineage: Eukaryota; Fungi; Basidiomycota; Agaricomycetes; Thelephorales; Thelephoraceae.
ACACCUCAACUCUCACGGUUUGCCGUGAUGAGCUUGGACUUUGGAGGUUUUUGCUGGCCCACGGUCGGCUCCUCUCAAAUGAAUUAGCUUGCCAGUUUUCGGUGGCAUCACAGGUGUGAUAACUAUCUACGCUUGCGGUCGUCCGCUGGGUAAACUUUCGGUGACGGAGGUUUGCUGGAGCUUAUAAACGUCUCUCCUCAGCGAAGACAGCCAUUUGAAC